CUUUCGGGUGNNAAGUACNUUCAGNNGGNNNNNNGGNNNNNGGCUNANNNNNNCAGCAAUUGACGUUNNNCGCAGNAGNAGCNCCGGNNUAACUCCGUGNCAGCAGCCGCNGUAAUANGNNGGGUGCAAGCGUUAAUCGGAAUUACUGGGCGUAAAGCGCNCGCAGGCGGUCUGUCAAGUCGGAUGUGAAAUCCCCGGGCUCAACCUGGGAACUGCAUUCGAAACUGGCAGGCUAGAGUCUUGUAGAGGGGGGUAGAAUUCCAGGUGUAGCGGUGAAAUGCGUAGAGAUCUGGAGGAAUACCGGUGGCGAAGGCGGCCCCCUGGACAAAGACUGACGCUNNNNNNGCGAAAGCGUGGGGAGCAAACAGGAUUAGAUACCNUGGUAGUCCACGCCGUAAACGAUGUCGACUUGGAGGUUGUGCCCUUGAGGNGUGGCUUCCGGAGCUAACGCGUUAAGUCGACCGCCUGGGGAGUACGGCCGCAAGGUUAAAACUCAAAUGAAUUGACGGGGGCCCGCACAAGCGGUGGAGCAUGUGGUUUAAUUNGAUGCAACGCGAAGAACCUUACCUACUCUUGACAUCCAGAGAACUUUCCAGAGAUGGAUUGGUGCCUUCGGGAACUCUGAGACAGGUGCUGCAUGGCUGUCGUCAGCUCGUGUUGUGAAAUGUUGGGUUAAGUCCCGCAACGAGCGCAACCCUUCUCCUUUGUUGCCAGCGGUCCGGCCGGGAACUCAAAGGAGACUGCCAGUGAUAAACUGGAGGAAGGUGGGGAUGACGUCAAGUCAUCAUGGCCCUUACGAGUAGGGCUACACACGUGCUACAAUGGCGCAUACAAAGAGAAGCGACCUCGCGAGAGCAAGCGGACCUCAUAAANUGCGUCGUAGUCCGGAUUGGAGUCUGCAACUCGACUCCAUGAAGUCGGAAUCGCUAGUAAUAGUAGAUCAGAACGNUACGGUGAAUCCCUCCCGGGCUUUGUACCCACCAGUAAUCACUAGAGGGGNGCCGGUUCAAC
This 1011-nucleotide ribosomal RNA is filed under the name Enterobacter asburiae. RNAcentral describes it as "partial 16S ribosomal RNA". It matches the Rfam family "Bacterial small subunit ribosomal RNA", at positions 416 to 1420 of the family's 1533-position model. Lineage: Bacteria; Pseudomonadati; Pseudomonadota; Gammaproteobacteria; Enterobacterales; Enterobacteriaceae. The record is from RNAcentral.